Molecule: ribosomal RNA, 1863 nt
Filed under: Triticum aestivum (bread wheat)
Lineage: Eukaryota; Viridiplantae; Streptophyta; Magnoliopsida; Poales; Poaceae
Description: partial small subunit ribosomal RNA
Source: RNAcentral
AUGACGUCUGUCCCGAAACCACUCAAAUUCCUCCGCGCACACUAUGGAACUCUCAAGACUUGCUUUGAGAGAAUGCAGGAUUCUGAACAGCAGAAGAAACAUAUGGCAGACAUUCUGUCAGUAUUGGCCUUGACAAUGUCUGCUGAAGGAGAAAGGGAAAGCCUGAAGUACUGUAUGAUGGGCUCUUUAGUUGAUAUAUGUUCAUGGGGUCAUGAAUACGUGAGAAACUUGGCUUUUGAAAUUGGAAAAGAAUGGAAGUUCAAUGGCUCAUCAACGCCAAUUGAAUCCGAAAUAAAUUUAGUGCUGGAAAUUGUCAAGUUUCACAUGAAGCAUAAUGCUGAAACUGAAGCUCUGGAUCUUUUGAUGGAGGUUGGAUACCUUGAGAUGCUUUCAGACGAAAAAAAGGAAGAAUACCUUACGAUGCUACUUCAUCUUGUUGACUCUACCAACUACAAAAGGGCAUGCUUGUAUUUGACUAGUUGUUCUAAAUACCUUUCUACACCCGACCAUGAAGCCACACUUGGCACUGCCUAUGACAUGUACAUGAAGUUUAGGGAUCUUGCAAGUGCUUUGCGGAUUGCACUUUUGGUCGACGACCACAAGUAUUGUGGUCAGAAUGUGAAGAUGAAGAUGGUAUUUGAAGAAACUGAAGAUUUCUCCCUGAAGCAGCAAUUCGCAUUUAUGAUAGCACGCUAUGGUUUAAGCGUGGAGAUUGAUGAUGAGAUGGUUGCAGAUGAAAAUGAGAAGAAUGCUUUACAGGAAGUAGUUUUUAACACCAAACUGAGUGCGGGGUACCAUAUCCUUGCGCGGGAUAUUGGUGUCAUGGAGCCAAAAUCUCCAGAGGACAUAUAUAAGGUUCAUCUGAUUGGCGGUCGACGUGCCAAAAGCUCCAGCCUUGAUUCUGCAAGACCGAAUUUGGCCGCAAUUUUUGUCAAUGCAUUUGUGAAUGCUGGUUAUUGCCAGGACAAACUCAUGACUGCAAUACCAGAUUCUUUGCUAUUCAAGAACAACGAACUUUGGAAAGCCAGUGCAGUAGCUAGUCUGGGAAUGAUACAUCUGUGGGAUACUGAUUCAGGAUUUGCCAAACUUGACAAGUAUCUGCACAGCAAUGAUACUAAUGUCGUUGCAGGAACUUUGUUAGGUAUAGGGAUUGUCUCUUAUGGUGUGAAGAAGGACUAUGAUCUUGCACAUGCUCUUAUUUCUGAGUAUAGCACGGGUGCAACAUCAAUUACACGAAUCGGGGGAAUCUUGGGUCUUGGCAUUGCUUAUGCUGGGUCCCAGAAAGACGAGCUUAAAUCGCAUUUCUCAAUUACCAUGAGUAACUCCCAAACACCUUUUGAGGAAUUAGUGUUCUCUUCCAUCUCUUUGGGAUUGGUGUUUGUUGGUUCCUGCAAUGAAGAGAUUGCAGAGUCAAUCAUAUCUGUCUUGAAAAAUCACAGUAAAGAGCUUACAGAGCCCAUUAUUCAUCUACUUCCAGUUGCCCUUGGCCUUCUAUAUCUUGGAAAACAGGAGAUGGUAGUUGCUACUGCUGCUAAGGUUUCUGAAACAUUGGAAGAACCAUUAAAGAAGUACUGUGGCCUGACUCUUACGUCUUUGGCAUAUGCUGGGACAGGGAAUGUGCUUAAGGUUCAGGAGCUCCUUUGUAGUUGUUCAGAUAAACUUGUGAAAGGUGGAAGUGACCAAGGGCCAGCAGUCCUUGGAAUUGCUCUUAUUGCCAUGGCUGAAGGAUUAGGAGCUGAAAUGUCUGUACGGUCCCUCGAGCAGCUUUUACAGUAUGGUGAUUGUAGUAUUAGAAGAGCAGUUCCUCUUGCUCUUGGCAUGCUCUGCGUAUCCAAUCCAAAGGCGGUUGUUGUGGACACAUGA